Non-coding RNA from Vicia faba (fava bean), 234 nucleotides. Lineage: Eukaryota; Viridiplantae; Streptophyta; Magnoliopsida; Fabales; Fabaceae. The record is from the annotation of a GenBank genome assembly.
AUGAGUAACUUUCUUUUGUUGAUUGUGUUUCUAUUGGCUUUGUUACUCAACAUUUCAUCCAGUGUUACUCUUGUUCACUCUUUUCCAUUGCCACACCAUGGUGCACACCCACCGCCACCACCACCUGGGUGCUACCACCAUGUGCCGCCAAAAUAUAGGCAUCGUAAGAUUCCUCCACCACCGCCGGCGGCGUUCUACUUCUUUUCUCCUCCACCUCCUACUUAUCAUCAUUGA